CUCUCGGUAGCCAAGUUGGUUUAAGGCGCAAGACUGUAAUGUGUUUCAAUUGUAAUCUUGAGAUCGGGCGUUCGAAUCGCCCCCGAGAGA
This 90-nucleotide transfer RNA is filed under the name Lachancea mirantina. It matches the Rfam family "tRNA". From Rfam's summary of the family: Transfer RNA (tRNA) molecules are approximately 80 nucleotides in length. Their secondary structure includes four short double-helical elements and three loops (D, anti-codon, and T loops). The record is from Rfam by way of RNAcentral. Lineage: Eukaryota; Fungi; Ascomycota; Saccharomycetes; Saccharomycetales; Saccharomycetaceae.